GGGAAACCGAGUCUUAACCGGGCGUUAAGUUGCAGGGUAUAGACCCGAAACCCGGUGAUCUAGCCAUGGGCAGGUUGAAGGUUGGGUAACACUAACUGGAGGACCGAACCGACUAAUGUUGAAAAAUUAGCGGAUGACCUGUGGCUGGGGGUGAAAGGCCAAUCAAACCGGGAGAUAGCUGGUUCUCCCCGAAAGCUAUUUAGGUAGCGCCUCGUGAAUUCAUCUCCGGGGGUAGAGCACUGUUUCGGCUAGGGGGCCAUCCCGGCUUACCAACCCGAUGCAAACUGCGAAUACCGGAGAAUGUUAUCACGGGAGACACACGGCGGGUGCUAACGUCCGUCGUGAAGAGGGAAACAACCCAGACCGCCAGCUAAGGUCCCAAAGUCAUGGUUAAGUGGGAAACGAUGUGGGAAGGCCCAGACAGCCAGGAUGUUGGCUUAGAAGCAGCCAUCAUUUAAAGAAAGCGUAAUAGCUCACUGGUCGAGUCGGCCUGCGCGGAAGAUGUAACGGGGCUAAACCAUGCACCGAAGCUGCGGCAGCGACACUGUGUGUUGUUGGGUAGGGGAGCGUUCUGUAAGCCUGUGAAGGUGUGUCGUGAGGCAUGCUGGAGGUAUCAGAAGUGCGAAUGCUGACAUAAGUAACGAUAAAGCGGGUGAAAAGCCCGCUCGCCGGAAGACCAAGGGUUCCUGUCCAACGUUAAUCGGGGCAGGGUGAGUCGACCCCUAAGGCGAGGCCGAAAGGCGUAGUCGAUGGGAAACGGGUUAAUAUUCCCGUACUUGGUGUUACUGCGAAGGGGGGACGGAGAAGGCUAUGUUGGCCGGGCGACGGUUGUCCCGGUUUAAGCGUGUAGGUGUGUGUUCCAGGUAAAUCCGGUU
RNAcentral lists this ribosomal RNA (875 nucleotides) under Salmonella enterica subsp. enterica serovar Newport. Its description in RNAcentral is "partial 23S ribosomal RNA". It matches the Rfam family "Bacterial large subunit ribosomal RNA", at positions 671 to 1547 of the family's 2925-position model. Lineage: Bacteria; Pseudomonadati; Pseudomonadota; Gammaproteobacteria; Enterobacterales; Enterobacteriaceae. The record is from RNAcentral.